CCCUGAAAAAUAAACGCUUCAGAUACUUAGCUUUGGAGAGCACAGCCGACAUGACAGCAGAGGAAGCCGAAAAGAAAUCAAACCUGUUAUCAAAUUUUCAAGGGGUAAGAAGCCCAGCUGGUUGGCUUGGAGCCAGGCAUGGAAUCCAAGUGCCUAGUGGACUACUUUCGGUAAGUAGAACUGGCAGUGUGGGAUGAACUAAACACCUGGUUAAGGCACUUAACGCCAAAGCUCAUCAGACCGGGGAAAAGGUUUUGCUUGAUAUAGACAGCAGGACAGUGGCCUUAGAAGUCGGAAUCCACUAAGGUGUGAGUAACAACUCACCUACCCAUUCAACCAUCCCUGAAAAUGUAUGGUGGUGGAGCCUCAGGCCCUCCUGGCAAUGGGUGCAAAGCAGGAACAGAAACAUGUUGUUUCCCUGGAAGGG
This 427-nucleotide non-coding RNA is filed under the name Sarcophilus harrisii (Tasmanian devil). Its description in RNAcentral is "Eukaryotic large subunit ribosomal RNA". It matches the Rfam family "Eukaryotic large subunit ribosomal RNA", at positions 972 to 1385 of the family's 3401-position model. Lineage: Eukaryota; Metazoa; Chordata; Mammalia; Dasyuromorphia; Dasyuridae. The record is from Rfam by way of RNAcentral.